Triticum aestivum (bread wheat) is the source of this 2261-nucleotide RNA transcript. RefSeq lists it as uncharacterized. Lineage: Eukaryota; Viridiplantae; Streptophyta; Magnoliopsida; Poales; Poaceae. The record is from RefSeq and is a predicted model, not a curated record. The transcript has 4 exons.
CCCCAACCUGCCUGGGCAAGAUGGCCCCACUUAUAAUUUACUAUACCCCAUAAUAUAUGGGCAAAGCACUUUCCCCUCCACCUCCACUCACGUUUCCCCUCCCCACAGCUCACAAUCUUCUCUCUCUCUUUGGGAUUGUUCUUGAGAGAAGGGGAGAAGGAAUUGCAUGGGAAAUUGAUUAUUGGCUUUGAUUCUUCUUUCCCCCAACAAUAUUUCUAGUUCCUAGUCAGAUCUGGUGAAAUCAUGAAGAUGUAUACGGAAUCUGUCCAUUAUGUUAUCAAGAAACGACGGGCGUUAGGUGUUCUAGCUGUAAUGUUGGCCAUUGUCCGGUGGCGUCGUCAACGUAGACAUUACAGUCUUAGAAUGUCUCGAAGAAAGUAUGGGCCAUUGGUUGAUAGAGAUCUGGAGAGGCAAAAAAAGUUGAAUGACCUGUACAAUUCAACCGAUAAAAAUUGCAUCAGUCAACUCCGGACGACGGGGCCGCUGCGCAGUGGGUUUGAUGAUGUGAACAAACAAGUGAUGCUCUCCAAAUCUACUCUAGAUGGCUUAUCGGCUAAUGAUCGUGGAAUUCUCUCUAAACCGAUUCAGUUCUACGACAAGUUGAAGGAUUAUUUAGUGGCUCGUCGGCAGAUGGCUCUUUUAUGCAAGACCCUUUCUCUGCAGCUGAAACUGACAAUGAUGAUAAGGUAAAAGAUGACAUGAUGAAUGAUAUGUCCACCUUUGAUGAAGCGAAGGGUCCAACAGGUCAUGACUCGGAUAAAUUAGAUACAGAUAGUGAUGAUUGUGAAGCGGUGGCUGCUCUUGCUGCACUGAUAGUCAAGUUUCCUCGUCCAAUGUUUUUUUGACCCUUUAACAGUAGGAGAACCUCCUACUGUUUUUGUAUUAAUAUAAAAGGGGUAACACUUUACAUGAGGAUUUUUACAUGAUGACUUUACAAUUCACCCUUCCUUUGGGAGGUGGGGGGGAACUUAAGCUAUAGAGGAGAGGAUGAGUGGGAUGAGAUUUUUAUGCUUUUCCUUAACCCUAUAGAUACUCCAUGCGGCCGUCAGGAAUAGCUCCAUGAAAAGAGGCCUGUUCCAGUUAUUCUUGGCAGACACAACUUGUUGCAGGCGAGGUUGUCCCUGAUUCCACGUAAUUCCAAGGCUGGACCAACAUUCAGUACUGAAUUGACACUCAAAAAAGAGGUGUUCCAGUGUUUCCUCAAUGUGCAGCCCACAUAGGAUGCAAUCAUAGUCAUUUCCUAUAUUGUAAUGUCUCCUCUUGAGCAUAUUUCGCGUGUUCAAUCGGUCAGAAAGGAGCAGCCAUCCAAAAACUUUAAUUUUCAUGGUGGAUUUUCCUCGUCCAAUGUUGCGGCUCUAAAGCCUAACAAGAAAAGUUUCAAAAAAAGUCCAAAGCCAAAUACUCUGCCACCACCACAAAAUGAUAAAGCUAAAAGGUCAAAGCCAAGAUCAUCUCAAGCAUCACAAGAUGACACUAAUAUGGAUGUGCUGCUCACAAGUACUUUGAUAGGCAUACGAGAAACCCUUGCAAGUCCAGUACAGACUGUAGCCCCAAAGGACCCAAAUGCUCCUUUAUGGGACAUGCUCAAGAAGAUUCCGUUGCCACCUGAUGAGAGGAUGUCGGUCGGGAUGCAUCUAUGCAAGCCAGAAUUUGCAGUCCAUCGAGGUUUUCUUGUCAACAUGGGUCAAGAAUACCUGGAGCGUUGGGUGUAUACAUACUUAUCUUAUCUGACAAUUAUCCUGCUGGCAAACGUGUCGGCGAUGAUCUUGUUGGUAACCUUGGAAACAAAGAUCCUGCUAGUAACCUUGGCGAUGAUCCUGCUGUUAACUCUAGCCCUUUCUGAGUAAGAUUGAUUGGUGGUCUACCAUAUUGUUGGAUCCUUUUGGUUGCAAAACACUAGUUUCUAAGUAGUCAAUGACUAGCUUUUGGCUAUGCACAACUGAUGUCUAAGUAAUGGCUGAUGGUGGUAUUAUUUUGCUACAGCCUUCUGCUUAGUUUCCAAGUAGUAUCAGCAUGCAUGAUAUGAUUAUUAGAUGCUAAUGUGAAAGCUGUGUUGCUUUCUGACUUGGAUAAGUUUCUAGGUAGUAUCAGGAUGAAUACAUAAUUAGACUUCUGGUUAUGUUAAUUCCACAAGGAUAAUUUGUGUAUCUCUUGCAUUCCAGAUGUGCUGGACAAUGAGUAUUAAUCAAAUGUAAUGCAUUGUGGUUAUUCAACAGCAAUGUUGCUGUGUAUCCUCAGAGUUAUAAAAUCAUUUGCCUUCA